UAUGCAAUGAGGAAGAUGUGAGCCUUGCCAUAAAACUCGUGUAGCCCUGACACUUGAGACACAGGGCCAGGUUGUCCAGCUCCCAGACAAAGAACUGUUGUCCAAAAACACACAGAGGGAACCUGGAUCUCCACGUGGAACAUCUGCUGUGGCGUAUGAGGUGUCCUAUACGAAAACGUUGCCUUUACUGUUUUAAUGGCUGUUUUGGCUCUUUCUAAUUUCUUGCCAGCACCAGAACGUGUUGUUCUUGUACAGUCAUCACUGCAGAUUCUUUGGAGACUCCAAAACAGCUGAAUAAAAGCUCCUAAGCCUAACAAUUUGCUCAGUGAGGAGUGGAACGUGUGAAUCCAGGCUUCCUGUGCCCCUGCAGUGGGGGUGCUUUGGUGGCCAAUAACACCAAUGUCUCUGAAAGUGGCUGCACACGUGGGUUCUCUGAAGGCUGAUAAAAAGAGCCACACCUGGCAAAAAAGACAGACUGGCUCUGGUUUGGAUGUCCCUGUUUCUGGAACUCUGCAGAAUUUCAGGACUUGCAUCUUGAAUGACCAAGAAGAUCUUAAGUCCUUGCUGUUAUUUCUUGUUCACUAUCCUUCUUGCUGUGUGUUGUUGUUCUUGUUCUUGUCAUUGCUGAUUCUGUAUGAUCUGGAAGAGGAAGACAAGCUCUCUCCCCCAAAGGUCUGCUUGUUUCCACUUCACAUCAUAUUCAUGUGAUGGCCAUCAGCACACUGCAUUUGUGCUCCUAAAUCUGCACUGUGCCAUGGGAGGCAGCUA
Molecule: long non-coding RNA, 768 nt
Organism: Prinia subflava (tawny-flanked prinia)
Lineage: Eukaryota; Metazoa; Chordata; Aves; Passeriformes; Cisticolidae
Exons: 3
Source: RefSeq, a predicted model, not a curated record